This 21-nucleotide microRNA is filed under the name Acyrthosiphon pisum (pea aphid). RNAcentral's name for it is "api-miR-3039". The record is from miRBase by way of RNAcentral. Lineage: Eukaryota; Metazoa; Arthropoda; Insecta; Hemiptera; Aphididae.
AAAAACGUCAAAACACGGUGG